This 94-nucleotide ribosomal RNA is filed under the name Acartia pacifica. The record is from RNAcentral. Lineage: Eukaryota; Metazoa; Arthropoda; Copepoda; Calanoida; Acartiidae.
ACCCGGUCUCGUCCGAUCCGGGAAGUCAAGCAACAUUGGGUCAAGUUAGUACUUGGAUGGGUGACCGCCUGGGAAUACUUGAUGUUGUAGACAA